UGGCGGCAGGCCUAACACAUGCAAGUCGAGCGGAAACGAGUUAUCUGAACCUUCGGGGAACGAUAACGGCGUCGAGCGGCGGACGGGUGAGUAAUGCCUAGGAAAUUGCCCUGAUGUGGGGGAUAACCAUUGGAAACGAUGGCUAAUACCGCAUAACGCCUACGGGCCAAAGAGGGGGACCUUCGGGCCUCUCGCGUCAGGAUAUGCCUAGGUGGGAUUAGCUAGUUGGUGAGGUAAUGGCUCACCAAGGCGACGAUCCCUAGCUGGUCUGAGAGGAUGAUCAGCCACACUGGAACUGAGACACGGUCCAGACUCCUACGGGAGGCAGCAGUGGGGAAUAUUGCACAAUGGGCGCAAGCCUGAUGCAGCCAUGCCGCGUGUGUGAAGAAGGCCUUCGGGUUGUAAAGCACUUUCAGUCGUGAGGAAGGUAGUGUAGUUAAUAGCUGCAUUAUUUGACGUUAGCGACAGAAGAAGCACCGGCUAACUCCGUGCCAGCAGCCGCGGUAAUACGGAGGGUGCGAGCGUUAAUCGGAAUUACUGGGCGUAAAGCGCAUGCAGGUGGUUUGUUAAGUCAGAUGUGAAAGCCCGGGGCUCAACCUCGGAAUUGCAUUUGAAACUGGCAGACUAGAGUACUGUAGAGGGGGGUAGAAUUUCAGGUGUAGCGGUGAAAUGCGUAGAGAUCUGAAGGAAUACCGGUGGCGAAGGCGGCCCCCUGGACAGAUACUGACACUCAGAUGCGAAAGCGUGGGGAGCAAACAGGAUUAGAUACCCUGGUAGUCCACGCCGUAAACGAUGUCUACUUGGAGGUUGUGGCCUUGAGCCGUGGCUUUCGGAGCUAACGCGUUAAGUAGACCGCCUGGGGAGUACGGUCGCAAGAUUAAAACUCAAAUGAAUUGACGGGGGCCCGCACAAGCGGUGGAGCAUGUGGUUUAAUUCGAUGCAACGCGAAGAACC
Molecule: ribosomal RNA, 954 nt
Filed under: Vibrio rotiferianus
Lineage: Bacteria; Pseudomonadati; Pseudomonadota; Gammaproteobacteria; Vibrionales; Vibrionaceae
Description: bacterial SSU rRNA
Rfam family: Bacterial small subunit ribosomal RNA
Source: RNAcentral